AGAAGAGACACCGAGAAACCUCGACGGCGUCAACGACGGUGGCUCGCCGGAAAACCCAUAAAACAGAAUUAGGGCUUCCUCCGAUUUGGCCACGAAUCAAGAAAACAAAGACACAACAAGGAAGAGGGAAGUGAGGAGGACAAGAAUAUACCCUUCAUAGCUGUCGUCCCUACCGGAGCUCACCGGAAAUUGCAGAACACAGUCGAGCUUUCCUUCGAUCGAUCACCACCGAAUCGAGAAGAAAGUGUGAUCCAUGGACCGGGUUAGAUAGAAGAGAAGGAGAGGAAGAGAUUGAAGAUGGUCUCGUCACCAGGGAUGGCCGGAGACGACGGCGUCAUGCGGAGGACGCCGGAGGCAGGCGGAGAGGAAGAGGGAAGUCUGGGCUCGGGUCAAACCGAGUGUGGCUUCCUUGACUGGGUCAACCCCCUCUUAACCUUUUUAAGCCUACACCCACAGCUGAAAACAAAACCCUAGAUCCUAUGGCCCAGAAUAAAAGUCAUACUCUAAUUCCAGACAAUUAACUCAUUUUACCGAACCUUCAAUACAUCGAAGAAAAAUAGCUCGAGACUCCAAAAAUAAUCAGGAGACACCGACGAACUCGUAUCGACGCGCACUAGGACUUCGGGUCCAUAAAAGAAGAACUUUACAUUUUGAGAACAACUCGACAAUAAACUCUCGAGUGUUAAAUUACCAAAUUACCGAGCACGGUUAAAUUCCUCAGUAACUCGAAAAAUACCCAGUAAAAAGGGAAAAAUUAGGCCCGGGAUGUUACACCUCCCUUGAACAUGGACAACCCUAACUCGAACAUUUCAAAUUUACACUCUUACUACAACACGUCCAAACUUCACAUAAAUAUCCAGCUAAUAAAAGCAAAUAUGAUAAGAGAUUCUAAACAUCAAACCAACAGGCCGAGCACACUACCGAAAUAAUAUACAACAAUCCCAAAGUAUCCAGAGCUACUAGACUCUAGCGGAAGCAAGAAAACAUGAGUAGGUUGAACAGGUAACCUACUGAUGAAAACUGGCAGAAAUGCGGGUGACUAUGCCUCGCCUCCUACUAGAUCCAACCCGAACUCUGCAGACUGGGCAUUUUAAAACGAAGGGCCCAGGGGAAAAACAUUUAAUAACGUUAGAGUGAGUGGACAAAAAUAAAUUAAUAAGAAAAAUAUUUAUGUUUCCCCAAAUCCAUUUCUAAGGAAAAAUCGAAUGCAUGCCGCAAGCGAUUAAACUUUUAUCUCAUAAAAUAUCGAGCCUCUCAGACUCUAUAAUAUAUGUAUGUAUUUACAC
Molecule: long non-coding RNA, 1286 nt
Filed under: Fragaria vesca (wild strawberry)
Lineage: Eukaryota; Viridiplantae; Streptophyta; Magnoliopsida; Rosales; Rosaceae
Description: long non-coding RNA (FVES_LNC005019)
Source: RNAcentral